GGAGAUUUGAUUCGUGAAAGAUAAAAUUAGAGAUGAGAUGAGAGAGAGAGAGAGAGAAAAAAAGAAAGAAACACUUUUGAAAGGCCCAUGUGGUGAGCAUGUGGGGAUUGCAUUCUGCUCUUUUUCUUAAGGCAAUGCCAAAUCCCAAGUGCCCGGGAAUUUGAAUUCCCGUGGGACCUCACGCACUCCUAUCACCAUGUUUUCCGGAUCCUGCCAAUUUUCCUUUUCUUUCCUUUCAUCUUCUCUUCUCCAUAUCUCUCUCACACGCCCAACCAACUCCAAACCCUACCUACUUAUUUUCCUUCCUAUAAACAUAUAUAUCCUUCUGUUAUUCAUACACUCUUUAACUCCACUCAAAUACUACUAUAAUCACGCCAUUCAAACAUACAUUACAUAAAUC
Molecule: long non-coding RNA, 400 nt
Filed under: Vigna radiata
Lineage: Eukaryota; Viridiplantae; Streptophyta; Magnoliopsida; Fabales; Fabaceae
Description: long non-coding RNA (VRAD_LNC007476)
Source: RNAcentral